This 392-nucleotide ribosomal RNA is filed under the name uncultured bacterium. RNAcentral describes it as "partial 16S ribosomal RNA". It matches the Rfam family "Bacterial small subunit ribosomal RNA", at positions 523 to 918 of the family's 1533-position model. The record is from RNAcentral.
AUACGGAGGAUCCGAGCGUUAUCCGGAUUUAUUGGGUUUAAAGGGUGCGCAGGCGGCCAUUUAAGUCAGCGGUUAAAUCGUGGGGCUCAACCCCAUUCUGCCGUUGAUACUGGGUGGCUUGAUUGCGGUCGAGGUUGGCGGAAUUCGUUGUGUAGCGGUGAAAUGCAUAGAUAUGACGAAGAACACCGAUUGCAUAGGCAGCUGACCAGACCGCAAAUGACGCUCAUGCACGAAAGUGCGGGGAUCGAACAGGAUUAGAUACCCUGGUAGUCCGCACAGUAAACGAUGAAUACUUGUUUUCGGCGAUAUAAUGUCGGAGGCAAAGCGAAAGCGAUAAGUAUUCCACCUGGGGAGUACGCCGGCAACGGUGAAACUCAAAUGAAUUGACGGGG